RNAcentral lists this ribosomal RNA (442 nucleotides) under uncultured bacterium. RNAcentral's name for it is "partial 16S ribosomal RNA". It matches the Rfam family "Bacterial small subunit ribosomal RNA", at positions 338 to 795 of the family's 1533-position model. The record is from RNAcentral.
CCUACGGGAGGCAGCAGUAGGGAAUAUUGCUCAAUGGGGGAAACCCUGAAGCAGCAACGCCGCGUGGAGGAUGAAGGUUUUCGGAUUGUAAACUUCUUUUAAGGGGGAAGAGCAGAAGACGGUACCCCUUGAAUAAGCCACGGCUAACUACGUGCCAGCAGCCGCGGUAAUACGUAGGUGGCAAGCGUUGUCCGGAUUUACUGGGUGUAAAGGGCGUGCAGCCGGGAAGACAAGUCAGAUGUGAAAUCCCGCGGCUCAACCGCGGAACUGCAUUUGAAACUGUUUUUCUUGAGUAUCGGAGAGGUAAUCGGAAUUCCUAGUGUAGCGGUGAAAUGCGUAGAUAUUAGGAAGAACACCAGUGGCGAAGGCGGAUUACUGGACGACAACUGACGGUGAGGCGCGAAAGCGUGGGGAGCAAACAGGAUUAGAUACCCGAGUAGUC